UGGAAUAAUGAACGCUUGCUACAACGACAAUAGACAACUAUUAAGGUCCUACAACAAUGCUGCAAGUCCAGACCGCAAAGCCGCACAGGAGACCCAUUGUUCCAGUCUCUGCAGAACAUGGUCAGCAACAGCCAGCUAAGUGACGCAAGCAAAGCUGGCAGGUCCCCUAUCCUCUGCUUCACACUCAUGAGGCCACCUCUGAGAUGUGGUGAAUGUUGGACAGGGUGAGCUGUGCUUCCCGCGCCGGGUAAAAACGUCUGGAUCGAAGCCACAGUCUCCCAAACACUCCUGUGAUCAGCAGCAAGACGACCAGCAGUGCUCCUAGCACAAAGGUCUCCACAGGUGGUACUCCGCCUGCAGCUAGAGAGAAAAGGACAGACAGAAGCCCAAUUAGCAUAUGAAUCCCAUAUACUUAACUAGAGUCUUCAAGCCUUGGAAAUGACAAAGCUUAAGCUUUGUGAUUCAUGUGAGUUACAGGACUUAUAAUAAAGGUGAAAACCUACUCAGAUUGGGCUUUUCAUUGUCAUUUAGUAAUCGUCUGAUGGGUCCGUAAGACACUGUAUGUGAGAGAGGGAUGUCUCUCCUUGUUCUCAUUAAUCCAUCAUCACUGGAACAGUUCUGUGUGGUAAAUAAAGAAAUGGAACAUGA
This is a long non-coding RNA of Notolabrus celidotus (New Zealand spotty), 648 nucleotides long. RefSeq lists it as uncharacterized. The transcript has 2 exons. NCBI's taxonomy places the organism in Eukaryota, Metazoa, Chordata, Actinopteri, Labriformes, Labridae. The record is from RefSeq and is a predicted model, not a curated record.